CAGUAGCCACGGGAAUACCAGCAGCCCAAGUGGUGGUCGCGAUUAUUGGGCCUAAAGCGCUCGUAGCCGGGCCGGUAAGUCCCUUGUGAAAUCGGACGGCCUAACCGUUCGGCGUGCAAGGGAUACUGUCGGUCUUGAGGCCGGGAGACGUCCGAGGUACUCCGGGGGUAGCGGUGAAAUGUUCUGAUCCUCGGGGGACCACCGGUGGCGAAGGCGUUCGACGAGAACGGGCCUGACGGUGAGGGGCGAAGGCUAGGGGAGCAAACGGGAUUAGAUACCCCCGUAGUCCCUGUCUCUUAUA
This 301-nucleotide ribosomal RNA is filed under the name uncultured bacterium. Its description in RNAcentral is "partial 16S ribosomal RNA". It matches the Rfam family "Archaeal small subunit ribosomal RNA", at positions 459 to 759 of the family's 1478-position model. The record is from RNAcentral.